CGCACCGCCCGUCACACCAUGAGAGUUGGCAAUACCCAAAGUCCGUGAGGCAACCGCAAGGAGCCAGCGGCCUAAGGUAGGGUCAGCGAUUGGGGUG
Molecule: ribosomal RNA, 97 nt
Filed under: uncultured bacterium
Lineage: Bacteria
Description: partial 16S ribosomal RNA
Rfam family: Bacterial small subunit ribosomal RNA
Source: RNAcentral